GUUAAUGUUAUACAGUGAAACUGCGAAUGGCUCAUUAAAACAGUUAUAGUUUAUUUGAUAAUCGAAUCUACAUGGAUAACCGUGGUAAUUCUAGAGCUAAUACAUGCGGCUACGCCUGACUCUCGAGGAAGGGCGGUAUUUAUUAGAUAACAAACCAAUAUUCCCUGUGUCUAUUGUGAUGACUCAUAGUAACUGAUCGAAUCGCAUGGGCCUUGCCCGCGAUGCAUCAUUCAAGUUUCUGCCCCAUCAGCUUUCGAUGGUAGUGUAUUGGACUACCAUGGCGUUAACGGGUAACGGAGGAUUAGGGUUCGAUUCCGGAGAGGGAGCCUGAGAAACGGCUACCACAUCUAAGGAAGGCAGCAGGCGCGUAAAUUACCCAAUCCUGACUCAGGGAGGUAGUGACAAGAAAUAACGGACCGGGACGUACGUCCCGGGAUUGCAAUGAGUAGAAUUUAAACCCCUUUACGAGGACCCAUUGGAGGGCAAGUCUGGUGCCAGCAGCCGCGGUAAUUCCAGCUCCAAUAGCGUAUAUUAAAGUUGUUGCAGUUAAAAAGCUCGUAGUUGGAUUUCUGGGAGGGUGCCGAUGUCCGCCGUUGGCGUGUGCAGAGGCGCCCUGCCAUCCUUCUGUUAGCCUUUCUCGGUAUUCACUUACUGGUUGGGGGCUCAGAUAUUUUACCUUGAGAAAAUUAGAGUGUUUCAGGCAGGCUUGCGCCGGAAUACAUUAGCAUGGAAUAAUAGAAUAGGACUUUGUGUCUCCUUUGU
RNAcentral lists this ribosomal RNA (762 nucleotides) under uncultured alveolate. RNAcentral's name for it is "SSU rRNA". It matches the Rfam family "Eukaryotic small subunit ribosomal RNA", at positions 63 to 844 of the family's 1831-position model. The record is from RNAcentral.